GAGAUUUGGGUAGUUUCCAUUUCCCAUUAGCUUAGGGUUUUGGCCACUAGGGCCUUUAUAAAAGCAAGGAAAACAUGAGGGCUCCCAUUUUGGUGGCUGGCCGAGUACCUAGAGAGAGAAAGCGAGCUAGAGGCGUGAGGCUAGAGAGAGAAGGAAAUGAAGAAAAGAAGAAAGCAGAGGAGAAAGAAAGAGAAAAAGAAGAAGGAGGUUUUGAAUUUAGGGGUAUCAAGAGGUUUGAUCAUAGCUUUUGUGUUCUUGAACACUACCGAGGAGGUAGGCAAUAGGGUUUCUUCUUGGUAUGAACUGUGAUGUGGGGAGUUCCAAUGUCUAGGCAUGUAUGACACGGGGUGUCCAUGAGUGAUUAACGAUCUAGACGAACGCCAAGAAAGUUUAUGAACUUUUAUGUUAUGAUUUAUGUUUUCCUUACAUCAUAGUGGGACUUUAUAUUUUAUUUUAUUUUCAAGAUUGCAUAAAGACACUAUAUUUUUAUUUUAAACUAUUGCGCCCAAAUUGCAUGUUUUGACAAGGUCCCAUUGAACC
This is a long non-coding RNA of Humulus lupulus (European hop), 540 nucleotides long. RefSeq lists it as uncharacterized. NCBI's taxonomy places the organism in Eukaryota, Viridiplantae, Streptophyta, Magnoliopsida, Rosales, Cannabaceae. The transcript is spliced from 3 exons. The record is from RefSeq and is a predicted model, not a curated record.